GAUGAACGCUAGCUACAGGCUUAACACAUGCAAGUCGAGGGGAAACGAUGAGAGAGCUUGCUCUCUUAGGCGUCGACCGGCGCACGGGUGAGUAACGCGUAUCCAACCUACCCAUUACAGGGGGAUAACCUUGCGAAAGUAAGACUAAUACCCCAUGGCAUUUUAUGGUGGCAUCAUUAUAGGAUUAAAGAUUUAUUGGUAAUGGAUGGGGAUGCGUCUGAUUAGCUUGUUGGCGGGGUAACGGCCCACCAAGGCAACGAUCAGUAGGGGUUCUGAGAGGAAGGUCCCCCACAUUGGAACUGAGACACGGUCCAAACUCCUACGGGAAGCAGCAGUGAGGAAUAUUGGUCAAUGGGCGAGAGCUUGAACCAGCCAAGUAGCGUGCAGGAUGACGGCCCUAUGGGUUGUAAACUGCUUUUAUAGGGGAAUAAAGUGAGCUACGUGUAGUUUAUUGCAUGUACCCUAUGAAUAAGGACCGGCUAAUUCCGUG
RNAcentral lists this ribosomal RNA (490 nucleotides) under uncultured bacterium. RNAcentral's name for it is "partial 16S ribosomal RNA". It matches the Rfam family "Bacterial small subunit ribosomal RNA", at positions 28 to 507 of the family's 1533-position model. The record is from RNAcentral.